This 444-nucleotide ribosomal RNA is filed under the name uncultured bacterium. Its description in RNAcentral is "bacterial SSU rRNA". It matches the Rfam family "Bacterial small subunit ribosomal RNA", at positions 30 to 474 of the family's 1533-position model. The record is from RNAcentral.
AUUGAACGCUGGCGGCAUGCCUUACACAUGCAAGUCGAACGGCAGCACGGGAGCUUGCUCCUGGUGGCGAGUGGCGAACGGGUGAGUAAUACAUCGGAACGUACCCUGAAGUGGGGGAUAACGUAGCGAAAGUUACGCUAAUACCGCAUAUUCUGUGAGCAGGAAAGAGGGGGAUCGCAAGACCUCUUGCUUUAGGAGCGGCCGAUGUCGGAUUAGCUAGUUGGUGAGGUAAAGGCUCACCAAGGCGACGAUCCGUAGCGGGUCUGAGAGGAUGAUCCGCCACACUGGGACUGAGACACGGCCCAGACUCCUACGGGAGGCAGCAGUGGGGAAUUUUGGACAAUGGGCGCAAGCCUGAUCCAGCCAUGCCGCGUGAGUGAAGAAGGCCUUCGGUUGUAAGCUCUCUCGGUGGGAGGAAAGUUGCUUCGGUUAAUACCUGGAGUA